This is a long non-coding RNA of Hyla sarda, 472 nucleotides long. RefSeq lists it as uncharacterized. Lineage: Eukaryota; Metazoa; Chordata; Amphibia; Anura; Hylidae. The record is from RefSeq and is a predicted model, not a curated record. The transcript has 3 exons.
GUGAAGAUGGACAGCCCGGAAUGACUAACCCUCCCACCGGACGGUCCCUGCAGCAUAGAUGGCCCGGACCAGCUCACCCUUCCUUCCCACCGAGGGGAGAUGCCCAUUCAAUAUCUUCACGGCUGCUGCGUUCCCCUCUGAUCUCUGGGCCGCUCACAUAUAUUAACAUGAUGGAUAGCUUUCCAGGUGUGAAAGCUCUCCAAUGAGGCUAAAGGUGUAUUUGUGGCUAAACAUACAGGCAACCUCUGAAGUCAUAGCUGGUGGUAGGGAGUCAGAGACAAAGAAAAGGAGGCUGAAGGCGGACAUGCCCGUCAAGCUAGAUGAUGUCCAGCAUACCGCUUCUUCUACCGUUAUCCCAAAGGAUCACAAGUAUACGGGUUUAUUGUAUUAAAGUUUACAAGUUGUUUACGUAUGCAUAUGUUUUAUUAAAAUCUGUCUUGGGCUAUGAAGGUGCUGUGAAAAUUCAAACAGA